AUAAAUCCAGUGUCUGAGUAUGACUAGAACAUGUUGUGAUGAUGACUAGCAUGGCCAUCAGGUGAAGGAUUGUCAGUGGAAGUCCAAGGUAGCAUAGGCAUCGCUACUGCGGCAGAACGCCACUAGGAUGGCGAAAGGAAUGGGAGUAGAAUUGAUCUUGCACCGAUUAGAGAAAGAAUGUAUUGGAGGUGAUUUUAUCAGAG
RNAcentral lists this long non-coding RNA (203 nucleotides) under Eucalyptus grandis. RNAcentral's name for it is "long non-coding RNA (EGRA_LNC000210)". The record is from RNAcentral. Lineage: Eukaryota; Viridiplantae; Streptophyta; Magnoliopsida; Myrtales; Myrtaceae.